UUCUAAAUUUCAUUUUUCAUUCCCCUUUGACUUUUCAACAUCCUUUCUAACUCACCUUUCUCCCACUCAACUCACGGCAAACACAUACACACACACCUCCUUUCCCUCUUUCACUUUUUUUUUCUCAACUAAAACCCAAAAACCACCUUUCUUCUACUCUUCUCUCACUCCCCACGUUAACCGAGACUCCUCCACCCUUCAUGCUUUUUGUUUUGUUUGUUUGUUUCUUCUUCCUUCAACCCUUACAUCCCUUCCUCUUCUCUUUUGUUUUCCUUCUCAACUCCAACAUAAGACUCUUCUCUUUUCUCCUGCCUUUGCUAUGUGAUUUGUAGUGUGCCCAUCUCCUCCUUCCACUUCCAUAAUUCUUCCUUCAUGUUCUUCUUCCUCCAAUGGCACCAAGCUUCUUCUUUCUUCACUACAUUCAUCAACCCCAUAUACCCCAUCUCACAAAAACAUCACUUUCACUCCUCUCAUACUCAUAACUCACUCUUUUCUCUUCCAACAAUGGAAGAGUACUCUCAAUACCCUCCUACCCCCAUUCUUGGUCAAAGAGUGUAGAUAAGUGCCCCAUAAUAUAUAUAAUUCAUGCAAAGUGACAAUAAACAAGACACCAUAAAACAUGGUUUUAAGUGUACUCAUAAAAAUUUUUCAUACACAUACAUCACCCAAAACUGUCCAAAACAUUUAUACCCAUCUUAACAACAACACUUUUGAAAAGCCAACAUGUAAUGUUCAAGGUAUACCCAUAACAACAAAAAAACGAAAAUCAAUAUAUAAG
RNAcentral lists this long non-coding RNA (778 nucleotides) under Vigna radiata. RNAcentral's name for it is "long non-coding RNA (VRAD_LNC016717)". Lineage: Eukaryota; Viridiplantae; Streptophyta; Magnoliopsida; Fabales; Fabaceae. The record is from RNAcentral.